RNAcentral lists this long non-coding RNA (277 nucleotides) under Lathyrus oleraceus (garden pea). Its description in RNAcentral is "Pisum sativum (pea) long non-coding RNA (PSAT_LNC016808)". The record is from RNAcentral. Lineage: Eukaryota; Viridiplantae; Streptophyta; Magnoliopsida; Fabales; Fabaceae.
CAAAAGUUGAACGCAAAAAUGUUUUGAAAUACUUGAAAAAUAUUGCAAAAAGAAAUUAAAACGAGAAUGACAUAAAAAUUAAAAUAGAUGAAAAAAUUAUUUUAAAAAAUAGGAGAAAAAUGUAUGUGAUGCAAAAUAUUUUUAAAGACUUUGUGUAAAAAAAUUGGAUCAAAAUGAGUGAGAAAUUAAAUUGAAAAGAAAAGGAAUAAAAGAAAAUAAAAAUAAAAUGAAAUUAGGGCGCCAACGGCUAGCAGAUUAGAAAAAUGUGCGUGGAAGG